UACGGAGGGUGCAAACGUUGUUCGGAAUUACUGGGCGUAAAGCGCGUGUAGGCGGCUUGGCAAGUCGGGUGUGAAAGCCCUGGGCUCAACCUAGGAAGUGCACUCGAAACUGCUUCGCUUGAGUGUCGGAGAGGAAAGCGGAAUUCUCGGUGUAGAGGUGAAAUUCGUAGAUAUCGAGAGGAACACCGGUGGCGAAGGCGGCUUUCUGGACGAUGACUGACGCUGAGACGCGAAAGCGUGGGGAGCAAACAGG
RNAcentral lists this ribosomal RNA (253 nucleotides) under uncultured bacterium. Its description in RNAcentral is "partial 16S ribosomal RNA". It matches the Rfam family "Bacterial small subunit ribosomal RNA", at positions 524 to 776 of the family's 1533-position model. The record is from RNAcentral.